RNAcentral lists this ribosomal RNA (256 nucleotides) under Protocruzia adhaerens. RNAcentral's name for it is "Protocruzia adherens partial Bacterial large subunit ribosomal RNA". It matches the Rfam family "Bacterial large subunit ribosomal RNA", at positions 31 to 312 of the family's 2925-position model. Lineage: Eukaryota; Ciliophora; Spirotrichea. The record is from RNAcentral.
GCCUUGGGUUCCAGAGGCGAUGAAGGACGUGACCAGCUGCGAUAAGCUACGGGGAGCUGCUGAUAAGCUUUGAUCCGUUGAUUUCCGAAUGGGGCAACCCGUCUGUAUAGACACAUAGGAGCGAACCUGCUGAACUGAAACAUCUAAGUAAGCAGAGGAAAAGAAAAUAAUAAUGAUUUCCAGAGUAGUGGCGAGCGAAAUGGAAAGAGCCCAAACCAUGUAUGUUACGGCAUAUAUGGGGUUGUAGGACCUGCAU